Molecule: ribosomal RNA, 497 nt
Filed under: uncultured bacterium
Lineage: Bacteria
Description: partial 16S ribosomal RNA
Rfam family: Bacterial small subunit ribosomal RNA
Source: RNAcentral
GAUGAACGCUGGCGGCGUGCCUAAUACAUGCAAGUCGAGCGAACAGACGAGGAGCUUGCUCCUCUGACGUUAGCGGCGGACGGGUGAGUAACACGUGGAUAACCUACCUAUAAGACUGGGAUAACUUCGGGAAACCGGAGCUAAUACCGGAUAAUAUAUUGAACCGCAUGGUUCAAUAGUGAAAGACGGUUUUGCUGUCACUUAUAGAUGGAUCCGCGCCGCAUUAGCUAGUUGGUAAGGUAACGGCCUACCAAGGCAACGAUGCGUAGCCGACCUGAGAGGAUGAUCGGCCACACUGGAACUGAGACACGGUCCAGACUCCUACGGGAGGCAGCAGUAGGGAAUCUUCGGCAAUGGGCGAAAGCUUGACGGAGCAACGCCGCGUGAGUGAUGAAGGUCUUCGGAUCGUAAAACUCUGUUAUUAGGGAAGAACAAAUGUGGAAGUAACUAUGCACGUCUUGACGGUACCUAAUCAGAAAGCCACGGCUAACUACGUG